Molecule: ribosomal RNA, 19 nt
Filed under: uncultured Glomus
Lineage: Eukaryota; Fungi; Glomeromycota; Glomeromycetes; Glomerales; Glomeraceae
Description: partial 28S ribosomal RNA
Source: RNAcentral
AAUGACCUCAAAUCAGGCA